Molecule: ribosomal RNA, 954 nt
Filed under: Triticum aestivum (bread wheat)
Lineage: Eukaryota; Viridiplantae; Streptophyta; Magnoliopsida; Poales; Poaceae
Description: partial small subunit ribosomal RNA
Source: RNAcentral
GUUGUCACAAAUUCCAAAAAUCUCAAAGGAACAAAAUCGAAAUUCUGCUCCAGGAAGAACAUGUUCCGAUUUUCCACCACACUGUACUCAAAUCGAUUUACAAGGUAAAGAGGGAAAGAAAAAGGCUCCGUAAUCUAUUUACAAGCCGGUAUUAAAAAAUAAAAAAUACUCUCUCCGUUCCAGAAUAAGUGAUUCAAGUUUGUACUAAUUUUGUACUAAAGUUAGUACAAAAUUGAGUCACUUAUUUUGAGACAGAAGGAGUAUCUGACAUGAAUCCAGGCUCGUUCUAAAUUGCUAUACAAAAUAAAAAAUUCCGUAUUUCACUCAUCGCCAGCGAUCGAUCAUGCUUGCGUAAGUAUGCUCAGGGCCACCAGCGCGGCGGCGGCAGCGGAGAACCAGACGACGCGGCCACGCGGCUCGCCCGCGGCGCGGCGUCCGUCCGACCCCGUCGCAGUCGUGUUCCGCCCGCCGUAGCCCCUUGUUGGCACGUAGCCACCGCCGGCCCCUCGCAUGUAACUGCCUCCGCCGCCGCCGCCGGCCCCGGGCACGGCACUGCCUCCCCCGCCAGUGCUUCCUCCAUCGCUGCUGCCUCCGCCUCCGAUCCUCCCACCACGGCCUCCACCUCCGCCUCGGGACGCCCCUCCCUGGAUCCGCGAGGCCACGCAGAGCAGCACCAGCAGCAGUGCGCAGGCCAGCCUCGCGUUGCCUCCCAGUCUCAAGGUCAUGGCCUCUCUCUCGUCUAGGUCUAGUCGUAUUCCCUUUCUCUUCCGUUUGGUUUGGUGCGGUAAGGCACCGCGGCCAUGGACCUUAUGUACAUGGUGGAUGAGGAAGAAGGCAGGAAAGCGUCUGCAGCAGAUUGUAUUGGACCUUGAGGCUAAGGAAGAAGGAGAGGCGGGAAAGCGUCAACGGCCGAUUGGGGUGGGUUCUCUGCUCGCCAUAGACGCACAUGUCGAU